AUGGCAUCAUUCACCAUGCAUAUGUGCUGGAUUAUCUGUAAUGAGAGAAAUGCUAUUGUGUUCAAGGAGAAGUCGACUCCUCCCUUCUACAUCCUUAAGCUUAUACAGGACGAGGACAAGCUAUGGGUCACCACAGGAGAUAGCCACCUUAGCAUCAUUAUGCCGCGAGAGUAG
Molecule: ribosomal RNA, 174 nt
Filed under: Triticum aestivum (bread wheat)
Lineage: Eukaryota; Viridiplantae; Streptophyta; Magnoliopsida; Poales; Poaceae
Description: partial small subunit ribosomal RNA
Source: RNAcentral